This 1464-nucleotide ribosomal RNA is filed under the name Salmonella enterica subsp. enterica serovar Infantis. Its description in RNAcentral is "bacterial SSU rRNA". It matches the Rfam family "Bacterial small subunit ribosomal RNA". Lineage: Bacteria; Pseudomonadati; Pseudomonadota; Gammaproteobacteria; Enterobacterales; Enterobacteriaceae. The record is from RNAcentral.
AUUGAACGCUGGCGGCAGGCCUAACACAUGCAAGUCGAACGGUAACAGGAAGCAGCUUGCUGCUUUGCUGACGAGUGGCGGACGGGUGAGUAAUGUCUGGGAAACUGCCUGAUGGAGGGGGAUAACUACUGGAAACGGUGGCUAAUACCGCAUAACGUCGCAAGACCAAAGAGGGGGACCUUCGGGCCUCUUGCCAUCAGAUGUGCCCAGAUGGGAUUAGCUUGUUGGUGAGGUAACGGCUCACCAAGGCGACGAUCCCUAGCUGGUCUGAGAGGAUGACCAGCCACACUGGAACUGAGACACGGUCCAGACUCCUACGGGAGGCAGCAGUGGGGAAUAUUGCACAAUGGGCGCAAGCCUGAUGCAGCCAUGCCGCGUGUAUGAAGAAGGCCUUCGGGUUGUAAAGUACUUUCAGCGGGGAGGAAGGUGUUGCGGUUAAUAACCGCAGCAAUUGACGUUACCCGCAGAAGAAGCACCGGCUAACUCCGUGCCAGCAGCCGCGGUAAUACGGAGGGUGCAAGCGUUAAUCGGAAUUACUGGGCGUAAAGCGCACGCAGGCGGUCUGUCAAGUCGGAUGUGAAAUCCCCGGGCUCAACCUGGGAACUGCAUUCGAAACUGGCAGGCUUGAGUCUUGUAGAGGGGGGUAGAAUUCCAGGUGUAGCGGUGAAAUGCGUAGAGAUCUGGAGGAAUACCGGUGGCGAAGGCGGCCCCCUGGACAAAGACUGACGCUCAGGUGCGAAAGCGUGGGGAGCAAACAGGAUUAGAUACCCUGGUAGUCCACGCCGUAAACGAUGUCUACUUGGAGGUUGUGCCCUUGAGGCGUGGCUUCCGGAGCUAACGCGUUAAGUAGACCGCCUGGGGAGUACGGCCGCAAGGUUAAAACUCAAAUGAAUUGACGGGGGCCCGCACAAGCGGUGGAGCAUGUGGUUUAAUUCGAUGCAACGCGAAGAACCUUACCUGGUCUUGACAUCCACAGAAGAAUCCAGAGAUGGAUUUGUGCCUUCGGGAACUGUGAGACAGGUGCUGCAUGGCUGUCGUCAGCUCGUGUUGUGAAAUGUUGGGUUAAGUCCCGCAACGAGCGCAACCCUUAUCCUUUGUUGCCAGCGGUCCGGCCGGGAACUCAAAGGAGACUGCCAGUGAUAAACUGGAGGAAGGUGGGGAUGACGUCAAGUCAUCAUGGCCCUUACGACCAGGGCUACACACGUGCUACAAUGGCGCAUACAAAGAGAAGCGACCUCGCGAGAGCAAGCGGACCUCAUAAAGUGCGUCGUAGUCCGGAUUGGAGUCUGCAACUCGACUCCAUGAAGUCGGAAUCGCUAGUAAUCGUGGAUCAGAAUGCCACGGUGAAUACGUUCCCGGGCCUUGUACACACCGCCCGUCACACCAUGGGAGUGGGUUGCAAAAGAAGUAGGUAGCUUAACCUUCGGGAGGGCGCUUACCACUUUGUGAUUCAUGACUGGGGUG